UACGUAGGGUGCAAGCGUUAAUCGGAAUUACUGGGCGUAAAGCGUGCGCAGGCGGUUAUGUAAGACAGAUGUGAAAUGCCCGGGCUUAACCUGGGAACUGCAUUUGUGACUGCAUGGCUAGAAUCUGGCAGAGGGGGGUAGAAUUCCACGUGUAGCAGUGAAAUGCGUAGAUAUGUGGAGGAACACCGAUGGCGAAGGUAGCCCCCUGGGUCAAGAUUGACGCUCGAUGCACGAAAAGCCGUGGGGAGCAAACAGG
This 256-nucleotide ribosomal RNA is filed under the name uncultured bacterium. RNAcentral describes it as "partial 16S ribosomal RNA". It matches the Rfam family "Bacterial small subunit ribosomal RNA", at positions 524 to 776 of the family's 1533-position model. The record is from RNAcentral.